AUGCUCAGGUCUCAGCACAUAUCUUAAAAUUGGAACUCUGAGAGAUGAGCCUGGCCCUUGCUCAAAGAUGACAUUCAAAUUCGUGAAGCGUUCCAUAUACUU
RNAcentral lists this small nuclear RNA (102 nucleotides) under Castor canadensis (American beaver). The record is from RNAcentral. Lineage: Eukaryota; Metazoa; Chordata; Mammalia; Rodentia; Castoridae.